Long non-coding RNA from Folsomia candida, 474 nucleotides. RefSeq lists it as uncharacterized. The record is from RefSeq and is a predicted model, not a curated record. NCBI's taxonomy places the organism in Eukaryota, Metazoa, Arthropoda, Collembola, Entomobryomorpha, Isotomidae. The transcript is spliced from 2 exons.
UUCAACUCUCUCCUUACUACAUGUGUUCAUUAUUUCCAAUUGAUUUAUUUCAAUCAACUAGUUAAUUAUCGCAAUCGCAGUUAUAAUAAUUUGUGAUACAGCAGAGGUGUAAAAAGGAAAUAACAUCGUGUCUGGAAUAAGGUCUGGACGUGAAGAAAAUUACGAUGAAAAAAAUGAAAAAGCUCCUGCAGGUUAUCAAAGAUGCUAUGAACGAUUAUAUAAAAGACGCUGGCGAUAAGAAGAUCUUCCCCCACAAAAAACAAAUUCAAGCGUGACAACUUUUAUGAACUUCUAAAAAAUCGGAUGAUAGGGAGCAUGGAUUAAAAAUACCCACUUUCAAAUUUAAACAACAGUACUUUAUUUUCUUGUAUGACAGAUAAUUAUGAUGUAAUCUAGUCCGUGAUCCAUGCUCAUCACUUCAGAGGUUGUCAGAUAUAUGUAAAAUAAAUAAAUGAUCUCAAAUGAUUGAUCGAA